RNAcentral lists this transfer RNA (78 nucleotides) under Burkholderiaceae bacterium. RNAcentral describes it as "tRNA-Ser". Lineage: Bacteria; Pseudomonadati; Pseudomonadota; Betaproteobacteria; Burkholderiales; Burkholderiaceae. The record is from RNAcentral.
GUAAAUGUAUUUUGUGAAGACUUGAAAACUGUCGACGGUUUGCGCCGUUCGUGAGUUCGAAUCUCACCGUUUCCGCCA